This is a small nuclear RNA of Nycticebus coucang (slow loris), 103 nucleotides long. Lineage: Eukaryota; Metazoa; Chordata; Mammalia; Primates; Lorisidae. The record is from RefSeq and is a predicted model, not a curated record.
GCGCUCACUUGGCAGCACAUAUACUAAAAUUGGACAGAUACAGAGAUUAGCAUGGCCCCUGUGUAAGAAUGACACGCAAAUUCGUGAAGUGUUCCGUAUUUUU